UUCUUCACUGGAGAGAGAAUCCAAAUCUCUUAAAGAGAUCUUUUAUACGUUAGGGAGUUUCAUUUCUGUUAAGGAUUAAGAAAUACAAAUCUUAUUAAUGGGAGGGAAUAGAAGAAGCCUAUCUGAUGCUAACGAAAAAGAGAAAGAACCUGAAGCCAACGUUGAAGGCCAUCUGUAGCUAACGAUUUUUAAUAAUUCAAACUGAGGUUUUGUAGUAUCGUAAGCAACGUGAGAUUUUGUAAUUUUAAGGGAGUACGGUGUAAACCUCAUACGAAUUUUUUCCUACUUCAGGUAUGUUAAAGCUAUCCCUUCUUUCUUUUGGCAUGGUCCAAAUUAUACUGAAGAAACAAGCAAAUAUAUAGUUUUCUAUAAAGUACUCUAUUCAUAGGAAUAGUAGGGGUGUCUAUAUUCUUGAUUCCCCAUGAGAAUUAUUAUUAUGUUCUGUUCAUGGGUCUCAGAAUAAUACGCAGUUGGAAAAGUUUAUGCGGAAGAAAUACCGAGAUUAUUCUGUAUUUGUCAUGCAUUUCACUCAUUUAUACAUGUGCAUUGACCCAUGACCAGAUGACAUUAUAUACGUGUAUAUAUGUAAAUUUAUGUAUAAGGGAUAUGGGAAAAGGUUACAACGUUAUAUAUGCACCACCACCUGAUCAGUUGGUAUACGAUGAUGAUGUUGCCCAUAGUGGCUGAAAUAUGAUUCAAACAGCGUUAUAUGCGUAUAUAUGUAAAUAUGAUUCAAACGGCGUUAUAUACGCGUAUAUAUGUAUGUAUAUAUAUGUAUAUGGGAUAUGGGAAAGGAUACAGCGUUAUAUACGCACCACCACCUGAUCAACUAGUAUACGAUGAUGAUUUUGUCCACAAUGGCCGAUAUGAUAUGAUGGGAUGCCCUCAGAGGCUGAUGAUGUUAUGAAACAUGUACCUAUGCACGACAUGACAUUCAUACGCAUGACGCUAGAAGUAAUUUAUGAUUUACAAAGUUAUUCAGACUUACAUGUUGAGUCAUGUGCUCUAUAUGUCUUCCAUGUUUCUUAUAUAUUUAUUUAUGUGCCUUACAUACUCGGUACAUUAUUCGUACUGAUGUCCCUUUUGCCUGGGGAUGCUGCGUUUUCAUGCCUGCAGGUCCCAAUAGACAGGUCGAGAGCCCUCCAAGUAGGCUAUCAGCUCAGUGGAAGAUGUUGGUGCGCUCCAUUUGCUUCGGAGUUGCUCGUUUGGUUAGUAUGAUUUAGACAUGUAUUGUUUGAUAUUGCGGGACUCUGUCUCGACCUUUAUGAUAUUU
This 1273-nucleotide long non-coding RNA is filed under the name Nicotiana tabacum (common tobacco). RNAcentral's name for it is "long non-coding RNA (NTAB_LNC017371)". Lineage: Eukaryota; Viridiplantae; Streptophyta; Magnoliopsida; Solanales; Solanaceae. The record is from RNAcentral.